AUAAAUAAAUAAAUAAAAGGGCCUCAGUGCCUUAUUGUGUUGUUCCCUCAAUAGGGCUGCUUGAGCAUUCUCAUGUUAUGGCAUCUGGCUUCAGAACAAAUCAUCCUAGAAAGAACAAAGAGAAAAGCCAGUAUGCCUCAGAAGAGAGCCAAUUAAUCUUAGAAGUCACCAUCAAUCUCUCCACAUUUUGGUUGUCAGAACUAAUUCGGAUUCUGAAAUAAUAGGUUAUGCUUUGGACACAUUAUAUAAUAUAAUAUCUAAUGAUGAAGAAGAAGAAGUAG
Non-coding RNA from Ictidomys tridecemlineatus (thirteen-lined ground squirrel), 281 nucleotides. The record is from RefSeq and is a predicted model, not a curated record. NCBI's taxonomy places the organism in Eukaryota, Metazoa, Chordata, Mammalia, Rodentia, Sciuridae.